This 259-nucleotide ribosomal RNA is filed under the name uncultured bacterium. RNAcentral's name for it is "partial 16S ribosomal RNA". It matches the Rfam family "Bacterial small subunit ribosomal RNA", at positions 524 to 776 of the family's 1533-position model. The record is from RNAcentral.
GACGGAGGAUGCAAGUGUUAUCCGGAAUCACUGGGCGUAAAGCGUCUGUAGGUGGUUCGAAAAGUACCAACUGUUAAAAAUUGAGGCUUAACUUCAAAGAUGCCGUGGAAACUUUCAAACUAGAGUAUGGUAGGGGUUAGAGGGAAUUUCCAGUGGAGCGGUGGAAAUGCGCAGAUAUCGGGAAGGAACACCCGUGGCGAAGGCGGCUCUCUGGGAGCGGUACUGACGCUGAGACGCGAAAGCGUGGGGAGCGAACAGG